AGAGUUUGAUCCUGGCUCAGAUUGAACGCUGGCGGCAGGCCUAACACAUGCAAGUCGAGCGGUAGCACAGAGAGCUUGCUCUCGGGUGACGAGCGGCGGACGGGUGAGUAAUGUCUGGGAAACUGCCUGAUGGAGGGGGAUAACUACUGGAAACGGUAGCUAAUACCGCAUAAUGUCGCAAGACCAAAGUGGGGGACCUUCGGGCCUCAUGCCAUCAGAUGUGCCCAGAUGGGAUUAGCUAGUAGGUGGGGUAACGGCUCACCUAGGCGACGAUCCCUAGCUGGUCUGAGAGGAUGACCAGCCACACUGGAACUGAGACACGGUCCAGACUCCUACGGGAGGCAGCAGUGGGGAAUAUUGCACAAUGGGCGCAAGCCUGAUGCAGCCAUGCCGCGUGUGUGAAGAAGGCCUUCGGGUUGUAAAGCACUUUCAGCGGGGAGGAAGGCGUUAAGGUUAAUAACCUUGGCGAUUGACGUUACCCGCAGAAGAAGCACCGGCUAACUCCGUGCCAGCAGCCGCGGUAAUACGGAGGGUGCAAGCGUUAAUCGGAAUUACUGGGCGUAAAGCGCACGCAGGCGGUCUGUCAAGUCGGAUGUGAAAUCCCCGGGCUCAACCUGGGAACUGCAUUCGAAACUGGCAGGCUAGAGUCUUGUAGAGGGGGGUAGAAUUCCAGGUGUAGCGGUGGAAUGCGUAGAGAUCUGGAGGAAUACCGGUGGCGAAGGCGGCCCCCUGGACAAAGACUGACGCUCAGGUGCGAAAGCGUGGGGAGCAAACAGGAUUAGAUACCCUGGUAGUCCACGCCGUAAACGAUGUCGAUUUGGAGGUUGUGCCCUUGAGGCGUGGCUUCCGGAGCUAACGCGUUAAAUCGACCGCCUGGGGAGUACGGCCGCAAGGUUAAAACUCAAAUGAAUUGACGGGGGCCCGCACAAGCGGUGGAGCAUGUGGUUUAAUUCGAUGCAACGCGAAGAACCUUACCUGGUCUUGACAUCCACAGAACUUUCCAGAGAUGGAUUGGUGCCUUCGGGAACUGUGAGACAGGUGCUGCAUGGCUGUCGUCAGCUCGUGUUGUGAAAUGUUGGGUUAAGUCCCGCAACGAGCGCAACCCUUAUCCUUUGUUGCCAGCGGUUCGGCCGGGAACUCAAAGGAGACUGCCAGUGAUAAACUGGAGGAAGGUGGGGAUGACGUCAAGUCAUCAUGGCCCUUACGACCAGGGCUACACACGUGCUACAAUGGCAUAUACAAAGAGAAGCGACCUCGCGAGAGCAAGCGGACCUCAUAAAGUAUGUCGUAGUCCGGAUUGGAGUCUGCAACUCGACUCCAUGAAGUCGGAAUCGCUAGUAAUCGUAGAUCAGAAUGCUACGGUGAAUACGUUCCCGGGCCUUGUACACACCGCCCGUCACACCAUGGGAGUGGGUUGCAA
RNAcentral lists this ribosomal RNA (1420 nucleotides) under uncultured bacterium. RNAcentral describes it as "bacterial SSU rRNA". It matches the Rfam family "Bacterial small subunit ribosomal RNA". The record is from RNAcentral.